GGGUGAUAUGAUGGCAUACCAUCUUUCGGGACUGACUCUAAGACUGGAGAGUUCCUUUUACUCUACUGAUCACAA
Small nucleolar RNA from Mugil cephalus (flathead mullet), 75 nucleotides. RefSeq annotates it as small nucleolar RNA SNORD2. The transcript has a single exon. The record is from RefSeq and is a predicted model, not a curated record. Lineage: Eukaryota; Metazoa; Chordata; Actinopteri; Mugiliformes; Mugilidae.